This 26-nucleotide non-coding RNA is filed under the name Cricetulus griseus (Chinese hamster). The record is from RNAcentral. Lineage: Eukaryota; Metazoa; Chordata; Mammalia; Rodentia; Cricetidae.
UAAUAAAAAGGACGGCGGGCUUAGAG